Molecule: ribosomal RNA, 576 nt
Filed under: uncultured Didymella
Lineage: Eukaryota; Fungi; Ascomycota; Dothideomycetes; Pleosporales; Didymellaceae
Description: eukaryotic LSU rRNA
Rfam family: 5.8S ribosomal RNA (bases 210-363)
Source: RNAcentral
UCUUGGUCAUUUAGAGGAAGUAAAAGUCGUAACAAGGUUUCCGUAGGUGAACCUGCGGAAGGAUCAUUACCUAGAGUUGUAGGCUUUGCCUGCUAUCUCUUACCCAUGUCUUUUGAGUACCUUACGUUUCCUCGGCGGGUCCGCCCGCCGAUUGGACACUUUAAACCAUUUGCAGUUGCAAUCAGCGUCUGAAAAAACUUAAUAGUUACAACUUUCAACAACGGAUCUCUUGGUUCUGGCAUCGAUGAAGAACGCAGCGAAAUGCGAUAAGUAGUGUGAAUUGCAGAAUUCAGUGAAUCAUCGAAUCUUUGAACGCACAUUGCGCCCCUUGGUAUUCCAUGGGGCAUGCCUGUUCGAGCGUCAUUUGUACCUUCAAGCUUUGCUUGGUGUUGGGUGUUUGUCUCGCCUCUGCGUGUAGACUCGCCUCAAAACAAUUGGCAGCCGGCGUAUUGAUUUCGGAGCGCAGUACAUCUCGCGCUUUGCACUCAUAACGACGACGUCCAAAAGUACAUUUUUACACUCUUGACCUCGGAUCAGGUAGGGAUACCCGCUGAACUUAAGCAUAUCAAUAAGCGG